Molecule: ribosomal RNA, 399 nt
Filed under: uncultured bacterium
Lineage: Bacteria
Description: bacterial SSU rRNA
Rfam family: Bacterial small subunit ribosomal RNA
Source: RNAcentral
AUUGAACGCUGGCGGCAUGCUUUACACAUGCAAGUCGAACGCGUCAGGGGGCAACUCCUGAUGAGUGGCGAACGGGUGAGUAAUGCAUCGGAACGUACCCCGUAGUGGGGGAUAACCCGGCGAAAGCCGGGCUAAUACCGCAUAUGCUCUACGGAGGAAAGCAGGGGACCUGAAAGGGCCUUGUGCUAUGGGAGCGGCCGAUGCCCGAUUAGCUAGUUGGUGAGGUAAUGGCUCACCAAGGCGACGAUCGGUAGCUGGUCUGAGAGGAUGAUCAGCCACACUGGGACUGAGACACGGCCCAGACUCCUACGGGAGGCAGCAGUGGGGAAUUUUGGACAAUGGGGGCAACCCUGAUCCAGCCAUGCCGCGUGCGGGAAGAAGGCCUUCGGGUUGUAAACC